CCCGGCAUGCCUUGCGCGCCGCGGGCCCAGAGACGUGAGGCUGUCGGCGUCCUGGUGGCCCCGCCUCGUGUCCCCCCCCGGACCCCACGCCGCGGGAGCUUGGGGGUUGCGGUCUUCUCUUCCUCCGACCUCACCUUCGAUGCGGAAGCGCAGGGGCAGGUGCGCCGCCCUCGGCCCGCGCAGGCGGUGGGCCCGUCUGGGGCAAGGCGCCCGGAAGCGCCUGGUUGGUUCAGAAAAUCGGACCGCAGCGGGAGGGCGGGCACCGGCGCGUGGUCUCAGUGGCCCCAGGCGAACCCUGAUGAGCAGCAGCCGCAAGUGGCUUACUAAAGGAGCCACUUUCUACGUUUGUCUGGAAUUUACGUGAAUUAAGCUGGCGGGCGGGCGGCCAGGCCUGUAGUCUCAGCACUUUGGGAGGCUCAGCACUUCGGGAGGCUGUGGCGGGCGGAUCACCUGAGCCUGGGAGUUGGAGACCAGCCUGCGCAACGUAGCAAGACCCUAUCUCUAAAACAGAUUCAUUAAUACUUAGCCAGGCGCGGUGGCUGAGGUCCCAGCUACUCGGCAGGCCCAGGCUGGCCUGAGCCAGACCGCUCUGGACUGUUUUAAUUUUUUCAGCCUUAAUACCUGCCAGAAUUUUUUUUUUACUAUGUAUCUUUGUCCUUACGUAUAUAAAUUUUAUAUACAAUUGAGAUUAUCCUGUAUUUGCUUUUCCCCCCUCACUUUUAUAUGGUGACUUUUCUCAUGUUAGGCUGAAUACUAACAUUUUGGAAACUGUCGGCCUGAAAACGAGCGGAGACACAGUUUCUCUAAGUAGAGAGUUUAUUUGGGCCACACUUGAGCACAAAUUCAAGGCGCCCUGAAUGUGUACUCCGAUUAGCAGUUAACAGUGGAUUUUAAAGGCAAAAAAGGGGGCCAGGGAGUGGACUAAUAGGAACUUGUUUGUGAGGAAUUCUCACUGGUUUACAGAAAUAACAUUGAUUAGUGACUGACUAUAUGUUGUUCAGCUAUUGAGUGUGGGUAUAGUGUCCAUUGUGGCGUCAUUAGGUUAAUUUAUAGCUGUUUGUGGCGCUGUUGCCACCAGUAGCAGUUUAAAGAGGUGAACACAGGUCAAGGGGUAGUAGGGCGCGAUUGUCGCCUCAUUUGAAUGUCUCUCUCGGCCUGAUAAUUAAAAGAACUCGCGUUCCUCAGAUAAAAAUUCUCUUUUCUCAAAACCAUUUAAAUGUGGUAAUUAGAAUGGCCCAGAAGGGGCACAGUGCCUUUUAGCCCUCGCCAUUACUUGCUCUUAGGAGUGCAUUUUUUGUAGCUGUGGGUUUUUGACUAUCUCUGCUGCUUUCUCCAGCCCCUACCCUCGUGACUACAAGGGAAAACGUGCGGUGCUCACGAGAGAGCCUUUAUGGGAUUUUUAAAAAAUGGGGAUUGUGGGAAAAUGGCUCCAGCAGUCACAGUUUUUCAGUUUCUCACAAUCCCAUAAAAACAGAGCAACCAGGUAACAAAACUAAAGCAUGGGCAACAUUUACAGACCACUGGAUGGUGAAGAAUUCCCAUGAACCCCUGGUUCACACUGUAAGGACACACUACUCAGCAUGGGCAACAUUUACAGACUACUGGAUGGUGAAGAAUUCCCAUGAACCCCUGGUUCACACUGUAAGGACAGACUACUCAGCAUGGGCAACAUUUACAGACCACUGGAUGAUGAAGAAUUCCCAUGAACUCCUGGUUCCAACUGUAAGGACACACUACUCAGCUGUAGCCUGAAGCCGCCUCCUUACAUACUGUAAGUUUAGCCUAUAGGUUUCUCCAUACGUAGUGAACAGUCAUCUAAUUGGAUGUGUGGACACUGUAACCUACUCUUGAAUCAGUCACAGGCAGCAGCACUUCAAACUCUGUUUCAAUAAGCCAGACACGAGCUGUAGCCACCCUGCUGUUUGCAGGCCUCACCUCUGCCUUCUGUGCCUCACUCCCUUUUCUGUCCGUAAGUCUUUGGCCACACAGUGGCACUGGAGUCUCUCUGAGCCUAUUCUGGUUUGAGGGGUUCCCUGAUUCCUGAAUCAUUCUUUGCUCAAUUAAACUCUGUAAAAUUUAA
Molecule: long non-coding RNA, 2080 nt
Organism: Homo sapiens (human)
Lineage: Eukaryota; Metazoa; Chordata; Mammalia; Primates; Hominidae
Source: Ensembl